This 371-nucleotide ribosomal RNA is filed under the name uncultured organism. RNAcentral describes it as "bacterial SSU rRNA". It matches the Rfam family "Bacterial small subunit ribosomal RNA", at positions 526 to 896 of the family's 1533-position model. The record is from RNAcentral.
CGGAGGGUGCGAGCGUUGUCCGGAAUCACUGGGCGUAAAGGGCGCGUAGGCGGCCUGAUAAGUAGGGGUGAAAUCCUGCGGCUUAACCGCAGGGCUGCCUUCUAAACUGUCAGGCUUGAGCACAGUAGAGGCAGGUGGAAUUCCCGGUGUAGCGGUGGAAUGCGUAGAGAUCGGGAAGAACAUCGGUGGCGAAGGCGGCCUGCUGGGCUGUUGCUGACGCUGAGGCGCGACAGCGUGGGGAGCAAACAGGAUUAGAUACCCUGGUAGUCCACGCCGUAAACGAUGGACACUAGGCGUCGGGGGGAGCGACCCUCUCGGUGCCGUCGCUAACGCAGUAAGUGUCCCGCCUGGGGAGUACGGCCGCAAGGCUG